GUUUCCCGUAAAGGUGAACCUGCUGCUGGAUCAUUACUCACUGUGAU
Molecule: ribosomal RNA, 47 nt
Filed under: Trichotylenchus changlingensis
Lineage: Eukaryota; Metazoa; Nematoda; Chromadorea; Rhabditida; Telotylenchidae
Description: partial small subunit ribosomal RNA
Source: RNAcentral